AUACGGAGGGUGCAAGCGUUAAUCGGAAUUACUGGGCGUAAAGCGCACGCAGGCGGUUUGUUAAGUCAGAUGUGAAAUCCCCGGGCUCAACCUGGGAACUGCAUCUGAUACUGGCAAGCUUGAGUCUCGUAGCGGGGGGUAGAAUUCCAGGUGGAGCGGUGAAAUGCGUAGAGAUCUGGCGGAAUACCGGUGGCGAAGGCGGCCCCCUGGACGAAGACUGACGCUCAGGUGCGAAAGCGUGGGGAGCAAACAGGAUUAGAUACCCUGGUAGUCCACGCCGUAAACGAUGUCGACUUGGAGGUUGUGCCCUUGAGGCGUGGCUUCCGGAGCUAACGCGUUAAGUCGACCGCCUGGGGAGUACGGCCGCAAGGUUAAAACUCAAAUGAAUUGACGGGG
Molecule: ribosomal RNA, 396 nt
Filed under: uncultured bacterium
Lineage: Bacteria
Description: partial 16S ribosomal RNA
Rfam family: Bacterial small subunit ribosomal RNA
Source: RNAcentral